CGGAACGGGUGAGUAAUGCGUGACCAACCUGCCCCAUGCUCCAGAAUAGCUCUUGGAAACGGGUGGUAAUGCUGGAUGCUCCAACUUGACGCAUGUCUUGUUGGGAAAGUGUUUAGUGGCAUGGGAUGGGGUCGCGUCCUAUCAGCUUGUAGGCGGGGUAAUGGCCCACCUAGGCUUCGACGGGUAGCCGGCCUGAGAGGGCGGACGGCCACAUUGGGACUGAGGCACGGCCCAAACUCCUACGGGAGGCAGCAGCC
Molecule: ribosomal RNA, 257 nt
Filed under: uncultured Gardnerella sp.
Lineage: Bacteria; Bacillati; Actinomycetota; Actinomycetes; Bifidobacteriales; Bifidobacteriaceae
Description: partial 16S ribosomal RNA
Rfam family: Bacterial small subunit ribosomal RNA
Source: RNAcentral